RNAcentral lists this ribosomal RNA (253 nucleotides) under uncultured bacterium. RNAcentral describes it as "partial 16S ribosomal RNA". It matches the Rfam family "Bacterial small subunit ribosomal RNA", at positions 524 to 776 of the family's 1533-position model. The record is from RNAcentral.
UACGUAUGGUGCGAACGUUGUUCGGAAUCACUGGGCAUAAAGGGCUCGUAGGCGGUUUGUCGCGUCGGGAGUGAAAUCCACUGGCUUAACUGGUGGCUUGCUUUCGAUACGGGCAGACUGGAGGUAUGCAGGGGAGAACGGAAUUCCUGGUGUAGCGGUGAAAUGCGCAGAUAUCAGGAGGAACACCGGUGGCGAAGGCGGUUCUCUGGGCAUGUCCUGACGCUGAGGAGCGAAAGUGUGGGGAGCGAACAGG